UCUUUGCAAGGUACUAUAUGAAAUAAAGGAUCGGCUAACUCCCGUGCCAGCAGCCGCGGUAAUACGGAAGGAUUCGAGCGUUAUCCGGAUUUAUUUGGGUUUAAAGGGUGCGUAGGCGGUUUCUUAAGUCUGUGGUGAAAUUUUGCGGCUCAACCGUAAGCGUGCCAUGGAAACUGGGGGACUUGAGUGUAGAUGAAGUAGGCGGAAUUUGUGGUGUAGCGGUGAAAUGCUUAGAUAUCACGAGGAACUCCGAUUGCGCAGGCAGCUUACUAAGUUACAACUGACGCUGAUGCACGAAGGCAUGGGGAUCAAACAGGAUUAGAUACCCUGGUAGUCCAUGCAGUAAACGAUGAUUACUGGCUGUUUGCGAUAUACCGUAAGCGGCUGAGCGAAAGCGUUAAGUAAUCCACCUGGGGAGUACGUUCGCAAGAAUGAAACUCAAAGGAAUUGACGGGGGCCCGCACAAGCGGAGGAACAUGUGGUUUAAUUCGAUGAUACGCGAGGAACCUUACCCGGGCUUGAAAUGCAUCUGACAGACCAAGAGAUUGGUUCUCCUUCGGGCAGAUGUGUAGGUGCUGCAUGGUUGUCGUCAGCUCGUGCCGUGAGGUGUCGGCUUAAGUGCCAUAACGAGCGCAACCCCUAUCGCUAGUUGCCAUCAGGUUAAGCUGGGCACUCUAUCGAGACUGCCAUCGUAAGAUGUGAGGAGGGUGGGGAUGACGUCAAAUCAGCACGGCCCUUACGUCCGGGGCGACACACGUGUUACAAUGGGUGGUACAAAGGGCAGCUACUAGGCGACUAGAUGCUAAUCUCCAAAACCACUCUCAGUUCGGAUCGGAGUCUGCAACUCGACUCCGUGAAGCUGGAUUCGCUAGUAAUCGCGCAUCAGCCACGGCGCGGUGAAUACGUUCCCGGGCCUUGUACACACCGCCCGUCAAGCCACGGAAGUUGGGGGUACCUGAAGUUCGUAACCGCAAGGAGCGACCUAGGGUAAAACCGAUAACUGGGGCU
RNAcentral lists this ribosomal RNA (1008 nucleotides) under uncultured Bacteroidota bacterium. RNAcentral's name for it is "bacterial SSU rRNA". It matches the Rfam family "Bacterial small subunit ribosomal RNA", at positions 465 to 1482 of the family's 1533-position model. Lineage: Bacteria; Pseudomonadati; Bacteroidota. The record is from RNAcentral.